UUUGGCCUACGGGGCACAGCAGUGAGGAAUAUUGGUCAAUGGGCGGGAGCCUGAACCAGCCAAGCCGCGUGAGGGAAGAAGGUACAGCGUAUCGUAAACCUCUUUUGUCAGGGAACAAAGGCGGGGACUAGUCCCCGGAUGAGGGUACCUGAAGAAAAAGCAUCGGCUAACUCCGUGCCAGCAGCCGCGGUAAUACGGAGGAUGCGAGCGUUAUCCGGAUUUAUUGGGUUUAAAGGGUGCGCAGGCGGCGUGUCAAGUCAGCGGUAAAAUGUCGGGGCUCAACCCCGGCCGGCCGUUGAAACUGG
RNAcentral lists this ribosomal RNA (305 nucleotides) under uncultured bacterium. Its description in RNAcentral is "bacterial SSU rRNA". It matches the Rfam family "Bacterial small subunit ribosomal RNA", at positions 333 to 636 of the family's 1533-position model. The record is from RNAcentral.